Molecule: ribosomal RNA, 253 nt
Filed under: uncultured bacterium
Lineage: Bacteria
Description: partial 16S ribosomal RNA
Rfam family: Bacterial small subunit ribosomal RNA
Source: RNAcentral
UACGUAGGGUGCGAGCGUUAAUCGGAAUUACUGGGCGUAAAGCGUGCGCAGGCGGUUCGUUGUGUCUGUGGUGAAAGCCCCGGGCUUAACCUGGGAAUGGCCAUGGAAACUGGCGAGCUGGAGUGUGGCAGAGGGGGGUGGAAUUCCGCGUGUAGCAGUGAAAUGCGUAGAGAUGCGGAGGAACACCGAUGGCGAAGGCAGCCCCCUGGGUUGACACUGACGCUCAGGCACGAAAGCGUGGGGAGCAAACAGG